CUAAGGUAGCAUAAUCACUUGCCUCUUAAUUGGUGGCUAGUAUGAAAGGAUAAACGAGAGCUAAGCUGUCUCUUAUUUACUACAUAAAAAUUAACCUUCAGGUGAAAAGGCCUGAUUCGAUUUAUAAGACAAGAAGACCCUGUCAAGCUUUACUAAAAAGACCUAAAAAGCAAAUUUCAACCACUGCUUCAAAUUUCAUACUAGUUUAGUUGGGGCGACUAAGGACCAAAACAAACGUCCUUCCACAAACAAAGGAUAAUAAUCCUCCUAUAUCUGAUCCUUAAAAGGAUAAAGAGACAAGCUACUGCAGGGAUAACAGGCUAAUUUUUCCUAAGAGUCCAAAUCGAAG
RNAcentral lists this ribosomal RNA (349 nucleotides) under Leodamas acutissimus. Its description in RNAcentral is "partial 16S ribosomal RNA". It matches the Rfam family "Bacterial large subunit ribosomal RNA", at positions 1951 to 2510 of the family's 2925-position model. The record is from RNAcentral. Lineage: Eukaryota; Metazoa; Annelida; Polychaeta; Orbiniidae.